This 576-nucleotide ribosomal RNA is filed under the name Triticum aestivum (bread wheat). RNAcentral describes it as "partial small subunit ribosomal RNA". Lineage: Eukaryota; Viridiplantae; Streptophyta; Magnoliopsida; Poales; Poaceae. The record is from RNAcentral.
AUGACUUUCAACUCUAUUAUCAUUAAUCUAGACCUGAUGGAAAUCCCACUCAAGGGCAGAUCAUUUACAUGGAGCAAUAUGCAAGAAUGCCCCCUACUAGAGAAAUUGGAUUGGAUAUUCACCAGUUCUGAUUAGAUUAAUGAUCAUUCAAACACUUUGGCCUUCCCUUUGGCAAAAAUCUCCUUAGAUCAUGUUCCCAUCAAAAUACAAAUUGACAGCAAUAUCCCUAAAAGCAAUAUCUUCAGGUUUGAAGAAUUCUGGACUCAGUUUGAGGGUUUUAAUGAAACUGUGGAGAAGUACUGGCAUAAUAGCAUGCACUAUGCUGAUUCUACAAAAAACCUGGUGGCAAAAUGUAGCGCCCCGAGACCGAUGUGCCAGGUGUCCUCCAGUUAUUCGCUGUUGUUGCCUUGUCAUUGCUUCCGUGUCAUGCAUUGCAUAUCAUGUCAUCAUGUGCAUUUCAUUUGCAUACAUGUUCAUCUCAUGCAUCCGAGCAUUUUCCCCGUUGUUCGUUUUGCAAUCCGGCGCUCCUAUGUCCUCCGGUGUCCCUUUCUACCUCUUUUCGUGUGCUGGUGUUAA